This is a non-coding RNA of Peromyscus maniculatus bairdii (prairie deer mouse), 251 nucleotides long. The record is from RefSeq and is a predicted model, not a curated record. Lineage: Eukaryota; Metazoa; Chordata; Mammalia; Rodentia; Cricetidae.
CCCCGCCGUCUGCUCGCCGCGCGCUCUUCUGGCGGGCUGGGCGCCGUCGCCAACGCCACCGGCUUCGAGGCUCCGCCCACUUCGGGCUCCCGCACGCGCGGCGCAAUGCUUCAGGCACAGGGUGGAUGGGCUUCUUCCUGACAUGUGUUUCCAUCACAGUGUACUGUGCCACUGAAAGCCCACAAGAACAAGGCCAGUCAUAGACUGAAAGCUCCAAGAGUUGCAAGUCAAAAUAAAACUUUUCUUUUCUA